RNAcentral lists this long non-coding RNA (607 nucleotides) under Trifolium pratense (red clover). Its description in RNAcentral is "long non-coding RNA (TPRA_LNC012934)". The record is from RNAcentral. Lineage: Eukaryota; Viridiplantae; Streptophyta; Magnoliopsida; Fabales; Fabaceae.
UUAUAGUAUUAUUUGAUUUUGACAUUAGUGGUUCGUUUGUGUCCAUGAUUUUGGAUCCGUGGUUAUUAUUAUGCUAAUUCUUUCACUUGAGUAAUUGUUUCCUUAACAAAUAACAAAGGAUCCAUAUUUCAUUUUAUUCUUUGGAUCGGUGGUUAUUAUUAUUUUCUUUUUGCACCACACUAUGUGUAUGGCAUCAUGAUUAAUAUGAUAAUCAUGUGAGCCAAUUUUUAUUUUGAUGGCUUCUUUUGGAUAUUUAUUAUUAUUUGGACAUGCAACGAAGUUAGCAUGAAUUUUUCCUUUCCAUUCCAUGAAUCGGUUUGGUUGGAAUUUUGAAUUUUUUGGACACAGUGAAAUAUUUGUUUGAUAUUUGAUAUUAAUAUCACAUUCUUGAUUUGGGGAAUGAGAUAAUUUUGAAAGAUCUCUAUAUAUUUGGUGAUUAACGUGAGAAUCAUAUGAGAUUGGAGCCUAAAAUAUUAUUUAACAAAAUCUCUUUUGAAGUGGUAACACUAAUAUGAAACAUUUUUGUUAAAGUUGGGAAGUUACUUUAGCCUCAAUUUUGUUAAUUAUGACACCAAAUAUGUAUUGCCUUAUUUCUAUAAACAUGCUG